RNAcentral lists this long non-coding RNA (940 nucleotides) under Homo sapiens (human). RNAcentral's name for it is "non-protein coding lnc-RNF152-2:1". The record is from RNAcentral. Lineage: Eukaryota; Metazoa; Chordata; Mammalia; Primates; Hominidae.
UGGCAUUUGAAUGAGCAGGGUCCUUUUAAUCCUGUGGCUGCUUACCCCAGAGUAAUAGCAGAUGGAAUCUGCUUUUUAUUACUUUUGCCUGUUGCCCCUGAGUCCACACCAGAAACCACUCAGGCAGGAUCUGGAAAGCAUACAAACCUCAUCAAAUAAAACGGAGGAACAAGUCCACUCUGGCUUCUGAGAACUCCAGGAACUCCUGGAAGAAGGUGCUUCAUCUCUGCAGUGCUUGGAACCCUGGCUGACAAGGAAAACGAGAAUGCUGAGUGUAACAAUGACCCCAGGAAUUCAAGCCAAGGAGCCCAAGAGGGGCCAGAUGGCGCCUUCAUUCCUGGUGCCAGAACUGUGGCGUUUCUCUGAAUGUAAGACUUUCACGCAGACUCUAAAAUAUUAUCACGUAAGCAAAGAAAUUUGUUUUUUGUUCAGAAAGAAUGACUGGUUAUUGUCAAAGUUCUGCAACAUCUGUGCCUUAGUACUGGCUGUUAAGUGGCCUUAGAGGAAGACCAUUUGAUAAUCAGCCCAGAAGGCCAAAGAAUUGUAUGACUUCCAGGUGGGCCCCAGUGUAUGCUUGGGUGGGGAAACAUAUUGGUGCACAUGCUUUUCUCAGUGGGAACUAGAACGUGAACUCUGAACAUUUCCUGCACCUAUUCUAAGCUUCACAGAAAGUUUUAUGUUGAAAUUCUGUUAAGCCUUGCUGUAGAUGAAGAGGUACGAACUGUCUGAAAAUCAUGUUAAAUGUCUGUUAAAGGGCCAGGCAUGGUGCCUCAUGACUGUAAUCCCAACACUUUGGGAGGCUGAAGUGAGAGGAUUGCUUGAGCCCAGGAGUUUGGGACCAGCUAGGCAACAUAGUGAGACCCUGUCCCUACAAAAAUAAAUACACAAAUAAAUUAGCUGGGUGUGGUGGUACACGCCUGUGGUCUCAGCUACUUGGGAG